AAAGUGAAUAGUGAAAUCCGGGGGCUCAACCUCACGGGCUAUUAUUCAAACUCACUGACUCGAGAGUAGCAGAGGUAACUGGAAUUUCUGAAGUAGGGGUAAUAUCCGUAGAUAUCAGAAGGAACACCAAUGGCGUAGGCAGGUUACUGGGCUAUUUCUGACACUGAGGCACGAAAGCGUGGGGAGCGAACCGGAUUAGAUACCCGGGUAGUCCACGCCGUAAACGAUGGAUACUA
RNAcentral lists this ribosomal RNA (236 nucleotides) under uncultured Candidatus Saccharibacteria bacterium. RNAcentral's name for it is "partial 16S ribosomal RNA". It matches the Rfam family "Bacterial small subunit ribosomal RNA", at positions 584 to 818 of the family's 1533-position model. Lineage: Bacteria; Candidatus Saccharimonadota. The record is from RNAcentral.